GCCCCGGUAGUGUAGCGGCCUAUCAUGCGGGCCUGUCGUAGCCCCUUUCUUAGAAAGAAAGCGGCUUUACCCGGAAAGAAAGGGGUUAUAGAUAGCCCGCGACCCGGGUUCAAAUCCCGGCCGGGGCG
Molecule: transfer RNA, 128 nt
Filed under: Aciduliprofundum boonei T469
Lineage: Archaea; Methanobacteriati; Thermoplasmatota
Description: tRNA-Asp
Rfam family: tRNA
About the family: Transfer RNA (tRNA) molecules are approximately 80 nucleotides in length.
Source: RNAcentral